UGGGGAAUAUUGGACAAUGGGCGCAAGCCUGAUCCAGCCAUGCCGCGUGUGUGAAGAAGGCUUUCGGGUUGUAAAGCACUUUCAGUGGGGAAGAAGGCUUUUGGGUUAAUGCCCCAGAAGAAGGACAUCACCCACAGAAGAAGCACCGGCUAACUCCGUGCCAGCAGCCGCGGUAAUACGGAGGGUGCGAGCGUUGUCCGGAAUUAUUGGGCGUAAAGAGCUCGUAGGCGGUGUGUCGCGUCGGCCGUGAAAACCUGUGGCUUAACCAUGGGCGUGCGGUCGAUACGGGCAUCACUUGAGUUCGGCAGGGGAGACUGGAAUUCCUGGUGUAGCGGUGAAAUGCGCAGAUAUCAGGAGGAACACCGGUGGCGAAGGCGGGUCUCUGGGCCGAUACUGACGCUGAGGAGCGAAAGCGUGGGGAGCGAACAGGAUUAGAUACCCUGGUAGUCCACGCCGUAAACGUUGGGCGCUAGGUGUGGGGACCAUUCCACGGUUUCUGUGCCGCAGUAACGCAUUAAGCGCCCCGCCUGGGGAGUACGGCCGCAAGGCUA
RNAcentral lists this ribosomal RNA (551 nucleotides) under uncultured bacterium. Its description in RNAcentral is "bacterial SSU rRNA". It matches the Rfam family "Bacterial small subunit ribosomal RNA", at positions 355 to 896 of the family's 1533-position model. The record is from RNAcentral.